This 946-nucleotide ribosomal RNA is filed under the name Vibrio sp. RNAcentral describes it as "bacterial SSU rRNA". It matches the Rfam family "Bacterial small subunit ribosomal RNA", at positions 79 to 1021 of the family's 1533-position model. Lineage: Bacteria; Pseudomonadati; Pseudomonadota; Gammaproteobacteria; Vibrionales; Vibrionaceae. The record is from RNAcentral.
ACGAUAACGGCGUCGAGCGGCGGACGGGUGAGUAAUGCCUAGGAAAUUGCCCUGAUGUGGGGGAUAACCAUUGGAAACGAUGGCUAAUACCGCAUAAUGCCUACGGGCCAAAGAGGGGGACCUUCGGGCCUCUCGCGUCAGGAUAUGCCUAGGUGGGAUUAGCUAGUUGGUGAGGUAAGGGCUCACCAAGGCGACGAUCCCUAGCUGGUCUGAGAGGAUGAUCAGCCACACUGGAACUGAGACACGGUCCAGACUCCUACGGGAGGCAGCAGUGGGGAAUAUUGCACAAUGGGCGCAAGCCUGAUGCAGCCAUGCCGCGUGUGUGAAGAAGGCCUUCGGGUUGUAAAGCACUUUCAGUCGUGAGGAAGGUAGUGUAGUUAAUAGCUGCAUUAUUUGACGUUAGCGACAGAAGAAGCACCGGCUAACUCCGUGCCAGCAGCCGCGGUAAUACGGAGGGUGCGAGCGUUAAUCGGAAUUACUGGGCGUAAAGCGCAUGCAGGUGGUUUGUUAAGUCAGAUGUGAAAGCCCGGGGCUCAACCUCGGAAUUGCAUUUGAAACUGGCAGACUAGAGUACUGUAGAGGGGGGUAGAAUUUCAGGUGUAGCGGUGAAAUGCGUAGAGAUCUGAAGGAAUACCGGUGGCGAAGGCGGCCCCCUGGACAGAUACUGACACUCAGAUGCGAAAGCGUGGGGAGCAAACAGGAUUAGAUACCCUGGUAGUCCACGCCGUAAACGAUGUCUACUUGGAGGUUGUGGCCUUGAGCCGUGGCUUUCGGAGCUAACGCGUUAAGUAGACCGCCUGGGGAGUACGGUCGCAAGAUUAAAACUCAAAUGAAUUGACGGGGGCCCGCACAAGCGGUGGAGCAUGUGGUUUAAUUCGAUGCAACGCGAAGAACCUUACCUACUCUUGACAUCCAGAGAACUUUCCAGAGAUGGAUUGGUGCCUUC